GAUGAACGCUAGCGGCAGGCUUAAUACAUGCAAGUCGAGGGGCAGCACGGGUAGCAAUACCUGGUGGCGACCGGCAAACGGGUGCGGAACACGUACGCAACCUUCCUUUAACUGGAGAAUAGCCCCUCGAAAGAGGGAUUAAUACUCCGUAACAUAUUGAUAAGGCAUCUUAUUACUAUUAUAGCUCCGGCGGUUAAAGAUGGGCGUGCGCCUGAUUAGAUAGUUGGCAGGGUAACGGCCACCAAGUCUGCGAUCAAGUAACUGGUGUGAGAGCACGACCAGUCACACGGGCACUGAGACACGGGCCCGACUCCUACGGGAGGCAGCAGUAAGGAAUAUUGGUCAAUGGACGCAAGUCUAGAACCAGCCAUGCCGCGUGGAGGAUUAA
This 388-nucleotide ribosomal RNA is filed under the name uncultured bacterium. Its description in RNAcentral is "bacterial SSU rRNA". It matches the Rfam family "Bacterial small subunit ribosomal RNA", at positions 28 to 412 of the family's 1533-position model. The record is from RNAcentral.